This 69-nucleotide transfer RNA is filed under the name Paenibacillus sp. OV219. Its description in RNAcentral is "tRNA_Leu_TAA". It matches the Rfam family "tRNA", at positions 9 to 63 of the family's 71-position model. Rfam says of the family: Transfer RNA (tRNA) molecules are approximately 80 nucleotides in length. Their secondary structure includes four short double-helical elements and three loops (D, anti-codon, and T loops). Lineage: Bacteria; Bacillati; Bacillota; Bacilli; Caryophanales; Paenibacillaceae. The record is from RNAcentral.
AGCGAACUGGCAGACGCACAGGACUUAAAAUCCUGCGGUGGGUGACCACCGUACGGGUUCGAUUCCCGU